CAUCCUCCACCACCCCCUCCAGCACCACCCCCAGCCUCUCCAUAACAGCUGACCAGGUGAGAAGUGAGCUGAGGAAGAUGAAGCCAAGGAAAGCCACGGGUCCUGACGGCAUCAGCCCCAGACUCCUGAAAGACUGUGCAGACCAGCUCUGUGAGGUGCUACUGCACAUCUUCAGCUUGAGCCUGAGUCUGGAGAGGGUCCCAACACUGUGGAAGACUUCCUGCGUGAUUCCUGUCCCCAAGACAGCGCACCCUAGGGAGCCCAACCACUUCAGACCUGUGGCCCUCACUUCUCACCUGAUGAAGACUCUGGAGAGGAUCGUGCUGAGGAACCUCCGCCCCCUGGUGAGCUCUCAUCUGGAUCCUCUGCAGUUUGCGUACCAGCCGAACAUCGGGGUGGAUGACGCAGUCAUCUACCUGCUGCAGAGGUCCAUGGCUCACCUGGAGAACACUGGCAGCACUGUGAGGGUCAUGUUUUUUGACUUCUCCAGUGCGUUCAACACCAUCCAGCCUUCACUGCUCAGGGGGAAGCUCGAGCGGGCGGGAGUGGACUGUCACCUAGCCGCAUGGACCGUGGACUACCUCACCGACAGACCACAGUUUGUGAGGCUUCAGAACUGUGUAUCGGACAUGGUGGUCUGCAGCACGGGGGCUCCACAGGGGACAGUGCUCUCCCCCUUCCUCUUCACCCUGUACACCUCAGACUUCAGCUACAACUCUGGGAGCUGUCACCUCCAGAAGUUCUCUGAUGACACAGCCAUCGUCGGAUGUGUAUCGUCAGGGGACGAGCGGGAAUACAGGACUGUCAUCACUGACUUUGUCAACUGGUGUGGCACAAACCACCUCCAGCUCAACGCCAGUAAGACAAAGGAGAUGGUUGUGGAUUUCCGCAGGAGGGGGACACCUCAAACAGUUCCAGUGAACAUACAGGGUCUGGACAUCGAGAUGGUGGAGUCCUACAGAUUCCUGGGUGUCCACCUCAACAACAAACUGGACUGGUCAACAAACACAGACGUUCUGUACAAGAAGGGCCAAAGUCGUCUCCACCUGCUGAGGAGACUGAGGUCCUUUGGAGUGUGCAGGACUCUGCUCAGGACUUUCUAUGACUCUGUGGUAGCAUCUGCACUUUUCUAUGCAGUGGUCUGCUGGGGGGCAGGGAGCACCGAGAGGGACAGGAAGAGACUGAAUAGACUGGUCAGGAGGGCCGGUUCUGUCCUGGACUGCUCUUUGGACUCCCUGGAGGAGGUGGGUGAGAGGAGGAUGUUAACAAAGCUUAUAUCCAUCAUGGACAAUCCCUCUCACCCACUGCACCAGACUGUGGGGGCUUUAGGCAGCUCCUUCAGCAGCAGACUGAGACUCCCACCCUGCAGGACGGAGCGCUACCGCAGAUCAUUCCUCCCCUCUGCAAUAAGACUUUACAAUGAACAGUAACAAAACUGGAUUUACACCACCACUUUUUUUAUGGCAUUUAAAUUGUGUAUAUUGCAGAAAGCUUUAUUUUUUCUUCUCCCUUUUCUCUUUUCAAUUUUCUUUUUUUUUUUUCUUAAUUAUUACAUUUAUUAAGUUCUUAAUAUUAGGACCCUUAUUGUUAUAACUGCAUUUUGCACUUUCUGUCUUGUCUGUGAUGCUGCUGUGACAAAAAAAUUUCCCCCAUGGGGGAUCAAUAAAGGAAUAUUCUAUUCUAUUCUAUUCUAUUCAAAGUUUAGUGUCCAUACUACAUGUAUGCAAAGUUUCAAAACAAAAGAUAAAUGUAUUUCGUCAUAUGGAAAUGUGAGAUAUUAUUUUGAGCAGUUUAGCACUUUUUUUGGUCGUAUGCUAAACUGCAGUGAGGUUUGGUUACCACUGCACUUAGUUGUAUUGAAUGUAGUUAAGUGAUUUAUUGUGAUUUAAACUGAUGUUGUGCAACACUUUAAGUUAUCAAUUUUUAAUAGCUAUUUGAUGAUUUUGAUCAAUAAAAUUAUUUAAAAUGUGCUUAUUUACUUAUUGGGCUCUAUUUUUGUCUGGCGGAGCCUGGUGCACAGUCAGUUUGGUAUUUUCGAAGACUGAGGCGCACCGAGGUCCACCAAGCUGGGGGUGGAUGCGUGGUAGGGGGAAGUGUCGACAGAAUUAGCUAGUGCACUGACAUUUUUGUGCUCGCCGGCGGCAUGGAAGGUGCGCUGAAAGCUCGCCGAUUCAAACCUGGUCAGCUUUCAGCGCAGGCGGAGCGCAGCUGGUCUAGUGGUAUUAUAGUAGACCGACAGGGUAGUACGCGCACAUCACCGAUGCCUCACUGGUAGGUUUCCACACAUUGUCAGGCAUAUUUCAGCGCAAUAAAAAAUUCAUUACAAACACUAUUCAGUGCAACUAUCUGAAUCAGCACAUACAUUUAGAUCUAUAUCGAUAUAUUCUGAUUUAUAUCUUAUCUGAUGAGCGCUUUUAGCAUGCUCAUUAAAUUAGAUAUCCAGUAAACAGUCACACAUGAUGAAGUUAACAAGAUAUUUAAUUUGCCUCCCCCUUUUUCGCCUUCUUCCUCCAGCAGCUCGACCCAGACAUGUCUCAGUGUCCUUUCCCCGUCCUGCUGCUGCUGCGGCAAGGCUGACCAGAUGGUUUAUUUUACUGAUCAGAAGAGUUAUUUUGAAAAUUUGAACAAAAAAAUAAAAGAAACUUUCAUUCAAAAUUACCUGUUGAUCUGAUGUUCCCACAUCCUUAAAAUUCUGUGAAUAUUCAAUCUGGAGUCAGGCCUACAUACGAAUAUUAUAAUAUUCAGUUGCGUGAGCUAAGUUCAUUUUAUAUGCCAACAUCAAUGAAAGAAAGAGCCAAGCCACACGAUGCGUCCUUUACACACAGGUGGUUCCGAUUUUAAUGCCAGUAUUGGAAUUUAUGCUAUGAUCCGUGAGCACAACCCACCUUUGUCACGUGAGGUUUAAAUAUAUGCAACUUUAUGUGAUAGUCUUUAUUUGUGGAAAAGGAUGUUUGUCUUACCAGUGGGUACAACCUUACACGCACCAAAUCCUGCUGUGCUUAUUUGGGAGAGUGUGGAGGACACCCUCUGCAGCGCUUGCAGCGACACUUGUUGAGGGGCUGCCUUCUGUCGCCAUCGUGUGGCAUUGCUGUCUUCAGUCAUCUCUUGACCUCUCGACUACUGCAUGAAAAUUGUAAUAUGCCUCGCCGGUGGCAGAUUUAAAGGUAAGGAGAGGAGCUGAUGUGAUUAGUGAAAACAGGUCUUGGCUGUUUUUAACCCACUCCACAUCUUUUCUCCUCCCUAUCUACUACUUACGCCACUGGGAGGAGCUGAGUUAGGGAGGGGGGAUACUUACACUGGGCUGCCCCGCUCACCAAAAUACUAAAGUGUGCUUGGGCACGCCUUUUUGGCGCGGCAGACCUGACUUACGCCGGGCCAGGCCUCCGGCGAAUUAUGAAAUAGAGCCCAUUGACUGUUAACUCUUGAAUUUAUUGAAAUGGUUGCUUGCAUAGAAACUUUACUUGAACCUUUAGGUCAUUGAUGGUAAAAUGCCUACAUUUAAUUACUGUUGAAUGUGUAUUUGUAUUACUGGUAAAUAAUUGAAUUAUUGAUCUUUUUUAUUGGUUGCUUGAGUAUUUAUCCGUGGUGAGACGCCUCCUUUUCCUGCCUUAUUUUUGUUUAACUUCCUGUUGUUUUCCUUGUUUCCCUGGUCUGGCUUGAUUGUUUUCAGAGCACACUCCCUCUCCCUGGUCGCUGAGGCUGAGUGAGACUCCACACCUGCGCUGCAUUUGCCAUCAAGGCCCUUUAAGAAGCUAGCAGCCCUCAGUCUCAGUGCCUGAGUAUUGUCUUAGCUCCUGAGCGUGUCUCUAGCCCACACAACAGUCAGCCAGCCAACUGGACUUUCCGCGUGCCGUUUGCCUUUUGUUUUGGACAUUAGAAGUACAUCUUCAACUUGCUAUCUGCCUAUGAGUCUGCUUCUGGGUCCACAAAAUACACCACAAGCCACAGAAUACUCAGGCCAGGAAAAUGGACCCAGCAGACCCAGACAGAUUCCAACAAGCCGUCCACAAGCACAAGUCCGAGUUCGCCAAGGUCAGCAUGAGGACAUGCUCCAGGGCCUCAACCAAUCCUUUCAAGGCCUCACCGUUCAAGUAGCACAACUGGCGGAUCAACUCCUCUCCCAGCUCUUCCCGCAGCAAUCUAGGUCUUUCCCCUCUGUGAGUACGGCUCCCUCUCCACCCUCUCCUGUCUUCAAAGAGCCUUAUGUCCCUCCUCCUGAGCCAUAUGCUGGGGAGAUUGGGGGCUGCAGAGGUUUUCUGCUCUGCUGUUUUAUCGUCUUUGAUCAACAGCCUGUCAGUUACCUCUCUGAUAAAUUUAAAAUAGCUUACACGGUGAAUUUGUUAAGAAGCAAAGCCGCAAAGUGUGCUACUGCCGUUUGGAAAGAAGAUUCUCCUAUAGCAUCCUCGUAUGCCAGAUUCUCUGAGGAACUUCGCAAAGUUUUUGAUUAUCCUGUUGACGGACUGGAAUGUACCAAGCGGUUGUUUUCCCUCACCCAGGGCUCUCGGUCUGCGGCGGAAUUAUCUAUUGAGUUCUGCAUAGUGGCGGCUGAGAGUGGGUGGGGGGAACAUGAGUUAAAAGGUGUAUUUUCUCAUUGUCUGUCCGAACAUUUAAAGGACGAAUUAGCUGCUCGUGACGAGCCAUCCUCACUUGAGGAGUUGAUUUUGCUAGCCAUACGUUUGGAUAAUCGCCUCAGGGAGAGACGUAGAGAAAGGAAAAUAAACACUCCUCCCCUUAGUUCAGAUUCCACAUCCUCCUCUGCUUUCAGCGGGUCUCCUCUGCAGCCCUCAGCUCUGCUCGCUCCGACGCCCUCUGCUGGAGAACCCAUGCAAAUCAGCCACACCUCCUCUAUCUCCAGCUCUCCCAGAUGUAUCACCGUACCUGCCUGUCUCCUGUGGGAAAAGGAUCCACGUCUCUCCAAACCCUUGUUGACUCCGGGGCAGAUGACAACUUCAUUCACGCUGGGCUGGCGGCGCGGCUACAGCUCCCCCUGGAGGCACUCUCUGCCUCCCGUAAGUUCACUGCUCUCGAUGGCAGGGUUAUAGCCACCAUAACCCACUGCACUACUCCUCUCAUCCUCAUCUUUUCUGGCAACCAUCGUGAGGACAUCCAAUUGUUCCUGCUUCCCUCUCCUCACUCACCCAUAGUGCUUGGACUCCUGUGGCUGCAGAUCCACAAUCCCCAAAUCAACUGGUCCACAGCUUCGAUUUCCGCCUGGAGUCCUCACUGCCACUCUCAUUGCCUCCGCUCUGCCAAUCCCUACAUCGCCACCGCCAUCUCUCGCCUCUGUUCCCCCUGUUUACCAUGAUCUGGCCAUGGUUUUCAAUAAGGAGCAGUCUCUCAUCCUUCCUCCUCAUUGCCCCUAUGACUGAGCCAUAGACUUGCUUCCUGGCACCCUUCUCCCCAGCAGCAGACAGUACAAUCUCUCUCGGCCUGAACAAGAAGCCAUGGAGGAGUACAUCCAGGAUUCUCUGGCUUCUGGGCUCAUCCGGCCCUCAUCCUCUCCACUUGCUGCUGGCUUAUUCUUUGUUAAAAAGAAAGAGUCCUCUCUCCGUCCCUGCAUCGACUUCCGCGGACUCAACGAUAUCACUGUGAAGAACAAAUAUCCCCCUGCCACUCAUCGAUCCCUCCUUUGAACUUCUCUGCAACGACACCGUCUUCUCCAAACUGGACCUCCGUAACGCCUAUCACCUGGUUCGCAUCAGAGAGGGCGACGAGUGGAAGACGGCCUUCAAUACACCCAUGGGCCAUUUUGAAUACCUCGUCAUGCCCUUUGGUCUCACCAAUGCUCCUGCUGUAUUCCAGGCUCUCAUCAAUGACGUCCUCCGUGACAUGAUCAAUAAAUUUGCCUUUGUAUGUCUGGAUGAUAUACUGAUCUUCUCCCGCAACAAUGAGGAACAUCAACAACACGUCCGACUUGUCCUCCAGCACCUCCUGGAUAACAGACUCUUCGUCCAACCCGAGAAGUGCGAGUUCCAUGCCUCCUCCGUCAGCUUCUUGGGAUACAUCAUCGCCCAGAAGAUUCAUGUGGAACUACAGCAAGAUGGCUGUGCCUCUCACCCGUCUCACCUCCCUCAAAGUCCCGUUCUCCAGGACCCCUGAAGCAGACACCACCUUCAUUCGGCUCAAGUCCCUCUUCAUCUCCGCCCCGGUGCUCUAACACCCAGAUCCCUUUCUCCAGUUCGUGGUAGAGGUCGACGCCUCGGACUCCGGAGUGGGGGCCGUCCUCUCGCAGAGGGAUCCCGAGACCCAGAAGCUCCAUCCUUGUGCCUACUUCUCCCAGAAACUCUCGUCCACGGAACAAAAUUAUGAUGUAGGAAACCGUGAGUUGCUGGCUGUUGUGUGGGCACUUCAAGAAUGGAGACACUGGCUGGAAGGAGCACAACACCCAUCCUCAUCUGGACUGACCAUAAGAACCUUCAGUACCUCCGUUCUGCUCGACGCCUCAACUCCAGGCAUCACCCCACCUCCACUUAUCCUCCACCACCCCCUCCAGCACCACAUCCAGCCUCUCCAAAACAGCUGACCAGGUGAGAAGUGAGCUGAGGAAGAUGAAGCCAAGGAAGGCAACAGGUCCUGACGGCAUCAGCUCCAGACUCCUGAAGGACUGUGCAGACCAGCUCUGUGAGGUGCUACUGCACAUCUUCAGCUUCAGCCUGAGUCUGGAGAGGGUCCCAGCACUGUGGAAGACUUCCUGCGUGAUUCCUGUCCCCAAGACAGCACACCCCAGGGAGCCCAACCACUUCAGACCUGUGGCCCUCACUUCUCACCUGAUGAAGACUCUGGAG
Molecule: non-coding RNA, 6785 nt
Organism: Xyrichtys novacula (pearly razorfish)
Lineage: Eukaryota; Metazoa; Chordata; Actinopteri; Labriformes; Labridae
Source: the annotation of a GenBank genome assembly